This 94-nucleotide transfer RNA is filed under the name Ceratitis capitata (Mediterranean fruit fly). It matches the Rfam family "tRNA". Rfam says of the family: Transfer RNA (tRNA) molecules are approximately 80 nucleotides in length. Their secondary structure includes four short double-helical elements and three loops (D, anti-codon, and T loops). Lineage: Eukaryota; Metazoa; Arthropoda; Insecta; Diptera; Tephritidae. The record is from Rfam by way of RNAcentral.
CCUUCGAUAGCUCAGUUGGUAGAGCGGUGGACUGUAGAAAGAUAAUUGCAAUGUAGAAAUCCAUAGGUCGCUGGUUCAAAUCCGGCUCGAAGGA